This 583-nucleotide ribosomal RNA is filed under the name Bacillus sp. (in: firmicutes). RNAcentral describes it as "bacterial SSU rRNA". It matches the Rfam family "Bacterial small subunit ribosomal RNA", at positions 73 to 641 of the family's 1533-position model. The record is from RNAcentral. Lineage: Bacteria; Bacillati; Bacillota; Bacilli; Caryophanales; Bacillaceae.
UGGGAGCUUGCUCCCUGAGAUUAGCGGCGGACGGGUGAGUAACACGUGGGCAACCUGCCUAUAAGACUGGGAUAACUUCGGGAAACCGGAGCUAAUACCGGAUACGUUCUUUUCUCGCAUGAGAGAAGAUGGAAAGACGGUUUACGCUGUCACUUAUAGAUGGGCCCGCGGCGCAUUAGCUAGUUGGUGAGGUAAUGGCUCACCAAGGCGACGAUGCGUAGCCGACCUGAGAGGGUGAUCGGCCACACUGGGACUGAGACACGGCCCAGACUCCUACGGGAGGCAGCAGUAGGGAAUCUUCCGCAAUGGACGAAAGUCUGACGGAGCAACGCCGCGUGAACGAAGAAGGCCUUCGGGUCGUAAAGUUCUGUUGUUAGGGAAGAACAAGUACCAGAGUAACUGCUGGUACCUUGACGGUACCUAACCAGAAAGCCACGGCUAACUACGUGCCAGCAGCCGCGGUAAUACGUAGGUGGCAAGCGUUGUCCGGAAUUAUUGGGCGUAAAGCGCGCGCAGGUGGUUCCUUAAGUCUGAUGUGAAAGCCCACGGCUCAACCGUGGAGGGUCAUUGGAAACUGGGGAAC